UCCCUAGUGGCUCAGACGGUAAAGCGUCUGUCUACAAUGCAGGAGACCCAGGUUCGAUCCCUGGGUUGGAAA
This 72-nucleotide transfer RNA is filed under the name Ovis aries (sheep). It matches the Rfam family "tRNA". Rfam says of the family: Transfer RNA (tRNA) molecules are approximately 80 nucleotides in length. The record is from Rfam by way of RNAcentral. Lineage: Eukaryota; Metazoa; Chordata; Mammalia; Artiodactyla; Bovidae.